RNAcentral lists this microRNA precursor (164 nucleotides) under Medicago truncatula (barrel medic). RNAcentral describes it as "MIR2619 microRNA precursor family". It matches the Rfam family "MIR2619 microRNA precursor family". Lineage: Eukaryota; Viridiplantae; Streptophyta; Magnoliopsida; Fabales; Fabaceae. The record is from Rfam by way of RNAcentral.
AAAUUGCCCUCUAAGUUUUGCAACUGUAGCAGUUCUGGCCCCCCAAGACAAAAAAAAUAAAUAACAUGUGCCACCUCACUUAGAGUGCCACAUCAACGUAGACCGAGUCAAAAUUGGUCUUGGGGGCCAAAACUGCCACAGGUGCAAAACUUAAGGGGCGGUUU